UACGUAGGGGGCAAGCGUUGUCCGGAAUCAUUGGGCGUAAAGAGCGUGUAGGCGGUUCGGGAAGUCGGCUGUGAAAGUCCAGGGCUCAACCCUGGGAUGCCGGUCGAUACUGCCGGACUAGAGUUCGGAAGAGGCGAGUGGAAUUCCCGGUGUAGCGGUGAAAUGCGCAGAUAUCGGGAGGAACACCUAUGGCGAAGGCAGCUCGCUGGGACGUUACUGACGCUGAGACGCGAAAGCGUGGGGAGCGAACAGG
RNAcentral lists this ribosomal RNA (253 nucleotides) under uncultured bacterium. Its description in RNAcentral is "partial 16S ribosomal RNA". It matches the Rfam family "Bacterial small subunit ribosomal RNA", at positions 524 to 776 of the family's 1533-position model. The record is from RNAcentral.